AUGUUUAUUAGGCCGGUCCUGACACCUGCCUGCGGGGAAGGACCACCGAGACCAGAUCCUGGGUGCCAUGGGGUGCAGGGACAGACCGGUGCAUGGCAGCGGCUGCGCCUAGCCGCGCUCGCAGAUGACCUCAACCACACUGGGCUCCAUGGGCACAGGGUCUGGGCAGCGCAGGGCAGCAGAGGCCACCACUUCGUCCAGCAGCAAGUGCACGAGUUCUUCGUCGGCCACAAAACGCCACAGGUAGAGCUGCAGAAAGUGGCAGUCCACUUGCACCUGCUGCAGCCCGAAGCGCCCAAAGGUGCGCAGCCGCACACACUCCAGCAGCGUCUUCAGGCUGAUCUUGAUGAUGCCGGUCAGCACCGACACCUGCAGGCAGGGACACAGGGAUGCAGCUUGGGGACUGCAGGUGUGGGGCUGCUCCAGCCAACCCUCCCCGGGAUCCCUGGAAGUCUGAGUCACGUUGGAAGUCGGACCUUGUUGAACUCCACAGGGCUGAACACAUCAAUACGUUCAGAGAAUAGCUUCUGGAUAUUGCUCAAGA
This is a long non-coding RNA of Homo sapiens (human), 544 nucleotides long. Lineage: Eukaryota; Metazoa; Chordata; Mammalia; Primates; Hominidae. The record is from Ensembl.